Molecule: long non-coding RNA, 2373 nt
Organism: Anguilla rostrata (American eel)
Lineage: Eukaryota; Metazoa; Chordata; Actinopteri; Anguilliformes; Anguillidae
Exons: 2
Source: RefSeq, a predicted model, not a curated record
UAAGAACAGCCUGGUCCAUAUCGAAUGCACGCAUAAUAAGCGAUCUGCGCGGGGAAAUAAGCCACAACUCUAAGAAUAUUUAGAAAUAAGCAUAUCACUGUAAACCUUAACAUAUGCAAACACACAGCAAGCAGUUUGCGUAAAACUCGUUAGAAGGAUUGGCCAAUCCGCCCGACACAGGAAGUGCCAUUGAGGUAACAUCAGUUUAGAAACUAACAAUGCAUUACAUGCUCCCAAUGCGUACACACAACUUUACUUUUUUCAUUACUGUCAGCUGUGUGACAAAAAGUGAGUUCAAAACUGCUAAUUUAAAUGAGAAGAGGACUUUGCAUCUUCUUGUGGAUAAACAGAAGAUCUGAGGACACCUGCUAACCAGGCUACAACGAUUAUUACUAAUUCAAAAGAGCAAAAGAGAUGGCUUCGAUGAGACAGACUGGGUACCACCAGCUGCAGCUGGCUGGAUCUGUCUUCCCAGCUUUGACACAGAAUGAAACCACCUCCUAUUGCCUGAGGUAAAACAUUGUGCCCCUGGGAGAGGUAUCUGUUCUCACAUGGUCUGUUUCCAUCGCAAUAAUAUGAUCAUGAUCAAGGCUGGACUCUGAGACUUAGAACCAAGAAUACACUAUAAUAUGGAGGGAUGGUGGUUAGCCAAUGGCUGCCCAUUGAUGCAUUGCCAGUUUGUGGGACUCCAUAGCUAUAUACUCUUACUGUAGCCAAUGGGACUAUAUGUUUAGAGCAAUUGAAGAAGUUAGGUUUUGAUAUAGUUUCGAAUACAUUUCAAGAAAAAUAAAAACAGGAGCGUGUGCUGAGCAGAAUUAAGUGCCAUUUCAAACACCUCUUGUCCAUGAUGCAAACCUGUAGGUGUCUGCUUGUACUGCAUGCCUGAUGAAUACAUUGGUUCCGGUUUUCCAGUUCAUAUGGGCCAUGGUGUGAGCGGCCACUAAAAUGACAGGUGUCUUCUUGUGAAAGUUUAAUCCUUUUAAUUCAUGUGUGGCUGUGUAUCAUGGCAGAUAGUGAGCCUGCCUUGUAAGGUUGCAGCUGCAUGAGGUGGCAGUUUUGUGUCCAGCUUAAAAGUAAACCUUUUUUGUUAUGCAAAACACCUUUUUUUUUUGCAGCAGAUGGCAGUAAAAUGCAAAUGGGACAAUGAAAACAAAUAUGGAUAUUGCGACAAUUGUAUUUUGCUGCCAUCUACUGCAAAAUAAAACUUUUCUCCAAAGAAUCAUACGAUUUUUGUUGCUGUUACCUUGCUUGAGUUAAUCAUUUAACUGAGCAAGAUAGCAAGUAUAACAUAUAAGCAUGCAUCAUAGCAGGCAAGCAUUUAUUGAUUAUAGCUUAUGAAUGUUUGACAGGUUCAGUUUUAUAAUUGCACGCAUAAAAAUGGGCAUAGAAUAAGAACGACUAGAACGAGUCCAUGCAAUAAUCAAACAGUGUACAAGAGCAAAAUAGACUGAAUGAGAUAUUAAUUUUUUUGUACAGGUAUUUGGAAUUUAAUUCAAGAAUGCAAAUUCUUAUUAAAAAAAACAAAAUAUGUGAUCCAGUCACCCUUGCACAUUGAUUGGUCAUUGUAUGUAAUCAUUCUAGUCAUUCUGCUUUAUGAUGAGAAAGAGAAAAUAAUGGCACAUUGCCAUGAAUGUUUCAACACAUCGGGUACUUCAAAUGAACUAAUAUAUCAAUGACUCAGUAUUAGAAAUUUUUCUGAACCCAGUGAAUUGCAUGGCUUCAAUUAGCUUUUCUGUGAAAGAUUGGCUACAUCACGCACAGUAACCCUUUGUAGAUUAUUCUGUUUGCUUAUUUUCAGAAUUGUACUAAUACCCACUUUACUGGCUUGACUGUUCAAGAUUAAUCAUUACAUCAAGGGGCAGUUAGAUAAAGUAACAGUAUUAAGUCUCAGAGUUUGUGGUGCUUAUCGGAGUGAUGAAUGUUAAUUGCUGUAAACAGUUUUAUCCCAACAAAUACAAAAUGGUUCUUUUGCAGGGGAUGUCUUACUGAUAUUAUGUUUGUUGUAAAGGGAGAUAUACUCACACUGCUUCUUAUGUAGUGGUCCAUGCCUAUACAGUGUGAGUUCUUGGUAGGCACUCAGAUACAGUUUUCAUUCUGCCAUGACUACAGUUCAGUUAUGUGUUUUGACUUCAAACUAUAAUCUCCUCGUGAACUUCAGCAGGAAAAUGGCUCUGUGGAGUCGCACUAUCAAUCUCAGCAUUUGCGUCUCUGGGCUCCAAAAUAAACAGGUACUGUUUCCUCUUGAGAAUAUACUGAUGCCAGGAAUUUUUCCAGAGUGCUGAAAAUUCCCACGCCUUACUGAUGUCCAUCUGCACAGUCAUGUGACCACCAAAAUCUCCUCCACGGUACUAUGGGGAUGUGUAUCUCAACCCA